Molecule: unclassified non-coding RNA, 404 nt
Filed under: soil metagenome
Description: partial contains 5.8S ribosomal RNA, internal transcribed spacer 2, and large subunit ribosomal RNA
Rfam family: 5.8S ribosomal RNA (bases 1-120)
Source: RNAcentral
GAUGAAAACGUAGCGAAAUGCGAUAAGUAAUGUGAAUUGCAGAAUUCAGUGAAUCAUCGAAUCUUUGAACGCACCUUGCGCCCUUUGGCCAUUCCGAAGGGCAUGCCUGUUUGAGUAUCAUGAACACCUCAACUCUUUAUGGUUUUCCAUGAUGAGCUUGGACUCUGGGGGUUUUGCUGGCUCACAGUCGGCUCCUCUAAAAUGAAUCAGCUUACCAGUGUUUGGUGGGUAUCAUGGGUGUGAUAACUAUCUACGCUUGUGGUUUUUCCACCAGGUAACCUUCAGCAGUGGAGGUUCGCUGGAGCUCAUAGAUGUCUCUCCUCAGUGAGGACAGCCCUUUGAAUGUUUGAUCUCAAAUCAGGUAGGACUACCCGCUGAACUUAAGCAUAUCAAUAAGCGGAGGA